RNAcentral lists this ribosomal RNA (693 nucleotides) under uncultured bacterium. RNAcentral describes it as "bacterial SSU rRNA". It matches the Rfam family "Bacterial small subunit ribosomal RNA", at positions 619 to 1315 of the family's 1533-position model. The record is from RNAcentral.
AACUGCUUUCAAAACUGCAUCCCUUGAGUAUCGGAGAGGCAAGCGGAAUUCCUAGUGUAGCGGUGAAAUGCGUAGAUAUUAGGAGGAACACCAGUGGCGAAGGCGGCUUGCUGGACGACAACUGACGCUGAGGCGCGAAAGCGUGGGGAGCAAACAGGAUUAGAUACCCUGGUAGUCCACGCUGUAAACGAUGAAUACUAGGUGUGGGAGGACUGACCCCUUCCGUGCCGCAGUUAACACAAUAAGUAUUCCACCUGGGGAGUACGACCGCAAGGUUGAAACUCAAAGGAAUUGACGGGGGCCCGCACAAGCAGUGGAUUAUGUGGUUUAAUUCGACGCAACGCGAAGAACCUUACCAGGGUUUGACAUCCAACUAACGAAGUAGAGAUACAUUAGGUGCCCUUCGGGGAAAGUUGAGACAGGUGGUGCAUGGUUGUCGUCAGCUCGUGUCGUGAGAUGUUGGGUUAAGUCCCGCAACGAGCGCAACCCCUAUUGUUAGUUGCUACGCAAGAGCACUCUAGCGAGACUGCCGUUGACAAAACGGAGGAAGGCGGGGACGACGUCAAAUCAUCAUGCCCCUUAUAUCCUGGGCUACACACGUAAUACAAUGGUGGUUAACAGAGGGAAGCAAAACAGUGAUGUGGAGCAAAUCCCUAAAAGCCAUCUCAGUUCGGAUUGCAGGCUGCAACUCGC